RNAcentral lists this long non-coding RNA (516 nucleotides) under Laticauda laticaudata (blue-ringed sea krait). Its description in RNAcentral is "lncRNA (ENSLLTG00000013555.1)". The record is from RNAcentral. Lineage: Eukaryota; Metazoa; Chordata; Lepidosauria; Squamata; Elapidae.
AUGGGCGUUGUGAUCCGGCGGAGGGGGGCGUGGCUGCAACCGCGGCGGCCCUCACCGGAGCGGCCUACCUCACGGGGCGGGCGUGAGGAGAAGGACGGAGCGCGGCCGACCUCAGGCUCGCGCUGUCAUAGUGGUCGGUGGCGGCGCGGGAGGACGCGGCAAGAUGGCGGCGGCGGCGAGGGUGGCCCAGCGGGUGGGAAGCAGCAGAAUUGUCCUGUGGCAUGGGAACCUACCCUUGAAGAAGACAUUAUUUUUGAAACAGCCAGUUUCCCCAGUCUUCUUUGCAGGGCAGAGAUCCCUGCACACCGGACCGCUGAAUGUGGUGCUGCGCAUCCGUCCGCUGCAUCUUUUUGUGGCUACAGGCACAGGAUAUGUGGGAUACAAGCAAUUUGAGAAGCACAAGGAGAAGAAUCUUGAAAAGUUGGGUGUGGAGAUGGCCCCCCAAAUUGCAAGUGAAUGGGAAGUAAGUGAUUGAGCAUUCUGUAAUUUGUUCUUAAAUGCCAAAUCAUUGCAAGG